UGGGGAAUUUUGGACAAUGGGCGAAAGCCUGAUCCAGCAAUGCCGCGUGUGUGAAGAAGGCCUUCGGGUUGUAAAGCACUUUUGUCCGGAAAGAAAUGGCUCUGGUUAAUACCUGGGGUCGAUGACGGUACCGGAAGAAUAAGGACCGGCUAACUACGUGCCAGCAGCCGCGGUAAUACGUAGGGUCCAAGCGUUAAUCGGAAUUACUGGGCGUAAAGCGUGCGCAGGCGGUUGUGCAAGACCGAUGUGAAAUCCCCGAGCUUAACUUGGGAAUUGCAUUGGUGACUGCACGGCUAGAGUGUGUCAGAGGGGGGUAGAAUUCCACGUGUAGCAGUGAAAUGCGUAGAGAUGUGGAGGAAUACCGAUGGCGAAGGCAGCCCCCUGGGAUAACACUGACGCUCAUGCACGAAAGCGUGGGGAGCAAACAGGAUUAGAUACCCUGGUAGUCCACGCCCUAAACGAUGUCAACUAGUUGUUGGGGAUUCAUUUCCUUAGUAACGUAGCUAACGCGUGAAGUUGACCGCCUGGGGAGUACGGUCGCAAGAUUAAAAGCUCAAAAU
Molecule: ribosomal RNA, 560 nt
Filed under: uncultured bacterium
Lineage: Bacteria
Description: partial 16S ribosomal RNA
Rfam family: Bacterial small subunit ribosomal RNA
Source: RNAcentral